GACGAACGCUGGCGGCGUGCCUAAUACAUGCAAGUCGAACGCUGAAGGAGGAGCUUGCUUCUCCGGAUGAGUUGCGAACGGGUGAGUAACGCGUAGGUAACCUGCCUGGUAGCGGGGGAUAACUAUUGGAAACGAUAGCUAAUACCGCAUAAGAGUAGAUGUCGCAUGACAUUUGCUUAAAAGGUGCAACUGCACCACUACCAGAUGGACCUGCGUUGUAUUAGCUAGUUGGUGAGGUAACGGCUCACCAAGGCAACGAUACAUAGCCGACCUGAGAGGGUGAUCGGCCACACUGGGACUGGGACACGGCCCAGACUCCUACGGGAGGCAGCAGGAGGGAAUCUUCGGCAAUGGACGGAAGUCUGACCGGACAACGCCGCGGGAGUGAAGAAGGGUUUCGGAUCGGAAAGCUCUGUUGUAAGGGAAGAACGAGUGUGAGAGUGGAAAGUUCACACUGUGACGGUAUCUAACCAGAAAGGGACGGCUAACUACGUG
Molecule: ribosomal RNA, 495 nt
Filed under: uncultured bacterium
Lineage: Bacteria
Description: partial 16S ribosomal RNA
Rfam family: Bacterial small subunit ribosomal RNA
Source: RNAcentral